This 75-nucleotide transfer RNA is filed under the name Acidimicrobiales bacterium. Its description in RNAcentral is "tRNA-Asp". It matches the Rfam family "tRNA". Rfam says of the family: Transfer RNA (tRNA) molecules are approximately 80 nucleotides in length. Their secondary structure includes four short double-helical elements and three loops (D, anti-codon, and T loops). Further hydrogen bonds mediate the characteristic L-shaped molecular structure. tRNAs have two regions of fundamental functional importance: the anti-codon, which is responsible for specific mRNA codon recognition, and the 3' end, to which the tRNAs corresponding amino acid is attached (by aminoacyl-tRNA synthetases). tRNAs cope with the degeneracy of the genetic code in two manners: having more than one tRNA (with a specific anti-codon) for a particular amino acid; and 'wobble' base-pairing, i.e. permitting non-standard base-pairing at the 3rd anti-codon position. Lineage: Bacteria; Bacillati; Actinomycetota; Acidimicrobiia; Acidimicrobiales. The record is from RNAcentral.
GGUCCCGUAGUGCAGCUUGGAGUGCACGCCGCCCUGUCAAGGCGGAGGUCGCGGGUUCAAAUCCCGUCGGGACCG